UAGGGAAUCUUCGGCAAUGGACGAAAGUCUGACCGAGCAACGCCGCGUGAGUGAAGAAGGUUUUCGGAUCGUAAAACUCUGUUGGUAGAGAAGAACAAGGGUGAGAGUAACUGUUCACCCCUUGACGGUAUCUAACCAGAAAGCCACGGCUAACUACGUGCCAG
Molecule: ribosomal RNA, 164 nt
Filed under: uncultured bacterium
Lineage: Bacteria
Description: partial 16S ribosomal RNA
Rfam family: Bacterial small subunit ribosomal RNA
Source: RNAcentral